Molecule: ribosomal RNA, 301 nt
Filed under: uncultured bacterium
Lineage: Bacteria
Description: partial 16S ribosomal RNA
Rfam family: Bacterial small subunit ribosomal RNA
Source: RNAcentral
CAGUAGCCGCGGGAAUACGAAGGGUGCAAGCGUUACUCGGAAUUACUGGGCGUAAAGCGUGCGUAGGUGGUGGUGUAAGUCCGUUGUGAAAGCCCUGGGCUCAACCUGAGAAUUGCAGUGGAUACUGGAUCACUAGAGUGUGGUAGAGGAUAGUGGAAUUUCCGGUGUAGCAGUGAAAUGCGUAGAGAUCGGAAGGAGCAUCUGUGGCGAAGGCGACUAUCUGGGCCAACACUGACACUGAGGCACGAAAGCGUGGGGAGCAAACAGGAUUAGAUACCCGCGUAGUCCCUGUCUCUUAUAC